RNAcentral lists this long non-coding RNA (271 nucleotides) under Salvia miltiorrhiza (redroot sage). RNAcentral describes it as "long non-coding RNA (SMIL_LNC007866)". Lineage: Eukaryota; Viridiplantae; Streptophyta; Magnoliopsida; Lamiales; Lamiaceae. The record is from RNAcentral.
GGUAGGAAGACCAUAGCUGGGAGUGGAAUCGGAGGGUUGAAGGAGACGCAGGAAAUGAUUGAUUUUGCAGCCAAGAACAACAUACUACCGGAUGUGGAGAUCAUACCGAUAGACUACAUAAACACGGCUAUGGAUCGACUGCUGAAAUCUGAUGUGAAGUACAGGUUCGUGAUCGAUGUUGAGAAGUCGUUGAAACCUGAGUAAGAAGUGGCUCAGAAAUGCGUUGAUCUUGUUCCAUCUUUUAGUAUGAAUAAUGGUGUAGGCUGGCAUU